Molecule: long non-coding RNA, 207 nt
Organism: Prunus persica (peach)
Lineage: Eukaryota; Viridiplantae; Streptophyta; Magnoliopsida; Rosales; Rosaceae
Exons: 2
Source: RefSeq, a predicted model, not a curated record
GAGAAGAGAUAGGUAUUUUUUUUUUGGUUUGGGAGAAAUGAGAGAAGAGAGGUGUCGAGAGGUGAAGGAAAGGAACUUGGUGGAUUUAGUGUGGCCGGUUCUACAUAGGUCCUGAAAUAAGGCCCAAUGAAACAACUACACAUGUAAUUUAAUUUAAAUAAAUAAAUAAUAUCGGUCGGUUGGGUAGAAUCGUCGGUAUUUAAAUAA